This 457-nucleotide long non-coding RNA is filed under the name Equus caballus (horse). RNAcentral describes it as "lncRNA (ENSECAG00000055965.1)". The record is from RNAcentral. Lineage: Eukaryota; Metazoa; Chordata; Mammalia; Perissodactyla; Equidae.
AUGCUGGGCGUCCACCCUUCUUAGUGCCGACACACAUAGAUUCCCUACCCGCCACACGAGAGGGGCCAAAUGACAACUGGACCCUGGGCUUAUGGGUCAUCUGGGGACAAUAAACAUAUAAAUAACCUACCUCCAGUUCCAGCAAGCUGCUAUUUACAGAGGCCACGGCGCUGCCGCAGUGAUGCUGCUGAUGAACGCGGCAGUAGGAGCUGUGGUCGUGCUCCUGUUUGGUGCCUGGGCCCGAUUGGCAGAACAGAUCAGGAAGGUGGCUUUUGUUCCCAUUUCACAACACUUCAGGAUCCGUUUCCCAUGACCGUCAUGUAGGAACAUAAGCAGAUUCAUGAGCUGAUUGAUGAUAAGAAAGAAGUGCAGCUGGAGCCAGCCCUGAUGGCCUAGUGGUUAAGUUCAGCUCACUCUGCUUCAGCGACCAGGGUUCUGUUCCCAGGCAUGGAACUAC